Molecule: ribosomal RNA, 500 nt
Filed under: uncultured bacterium
Lineage: Bacteria
Description: partial 16S ribosomal RNA
Rfam family: Bacterial small subunit ribosomal RNA
Source: RNAcentral
GACGAACGCUGGCGGCGUGCCUAAUACAUGCAAGUCGAGCGGACUGAUUAAGAGCUUGCUCUUAUGACGUUAGCGGCGGACGGGUGAGUAACACGUGGGCAACCUGCCCUGUAGAUCGGGAUAACACCGAGAAAUCGGUGCUAAUACCGGGUAAUAUCUGAGAUCACAUGAUCUUAGGUUAAAAGAUGGCUCCGGCUAUCACUACAGGAUGGGCCCGCGGCGCGUUAGCUAGUUGGUAAGGUAAUGGCUUACAAAGGCGACGAUGCGUAGCCGACCUGAGAGGGUGAGAGGCCACACUGGGACAGAGACACGGCCCCAACACCUCCGGGAGGGAGCAGGAGGGGAUCUUCCGCAAAGGACGAAAGUCUGACGGAGCAACGCCGCGUGAGUGAUGAAGGGUUUCGGCUCGUAAAGCUCUGUUGUUAGGGAAGAAACAGUAACGAACGAACUAGGUCGGUACCUUGACGGUACCUAGCCAGAAAGCCACGGCUAACUACGUG